This is a Y RNA of Callithrix jacchus (white-tufted-ear marmoset), 96 nucleotides long. It matches the Rfam family "Y RNA". From Rfam's summary of the family: Y RNAs are components of the Ro ribonucleoprotein particle (Ro RNP), in association with Ro60 and La proteins. The Y RNAs and Ro60 and La proteins are well conserved, but the function of the Ro RNP is not known. The record is from Ensembl. Lineage: Eukaryota; Metazoa; Chordata; Mammalia; Primates; Cebidae.
GGCUGGUCUGAUGGUAGUGGGUUAUCAGAACUUAUUAACAUUAGUGUCACUAAAGUUGGUAUACAACCCCCCACUGCUAAAUUUGACUGGCUUUUA